Molecule: long non-coding RNA, 1642 nt
Organism: Brassica napus (rape)
Lineage: Eukaryota; Viridiplantae; Streptophyta; Magnoliopsida; Brassicales; Brassicaceae
Exons: 6
Source: RefSeq, a predicted model, not a curated record
AAAUAUAAGAAUGACACAAACUAAAGGUAAAGACACAUCUAAUCUAUUAAAAGGGAAGUACAAAUAGUACUUAGCCCUGACUUUUCCCAAACAAUUACAAUAGAAUGCCACUGGACUUAUACACCGUCGUUUUGUAGCAUUACUAUACCAUAGCAUUACCAUCUAUUUUUUCUUCUUGAUUUUGCUUCGUGUUCUUCGUUGUAUCUCCGAAUUGUUAUUCUUGAUUCUUCAGUAGGAAAUAGAAACUCUCUGCGCCAAGCUCUACGACAAAUACACCACCUUCAAGAAAUUUUCAAGUUUUCGGAAUUGGACGAGGUUAAUAGGAAACAAGAAGACGAGAGUUCAUUACCUUUGUUUCAGCCUCAGACACAACAUUUGAGAAGUGAAAACAAGAAUUUGAAGGAGAACAUGGAGAGAUUGAGGAAUGAGAUAGCUGAAAUCAGGCAUGUAGUAUUACUGUGUUAAUCUUCUCUUCCCUUGGACUUCCUUCUGGAUUCUUGUGAAAUGUAAAAACCAUGGCUGUUUUGGUCCACAGAUAUACCAGGGACGAGGAGCGUUUGGAGUCUCAAAAGUGUCUUGUGGCAGAAGAACGAAAGAACAAGACACUUUCCGAGCAAGUUGAGAAAAUAAAAGAGCUGAUAUCAGAGGGAGUUCCUCACUACAACAAAAAUCAAAGUGGAAGAACACGAAAGACUCCUGAAUCUCCUCAAGUUACAACGUGAAGCAUGAGGAAGCGUAGCAGGCAGACUGAGGAUAUGGUUGAAAUGGACACGGUAUCACCUAUGAGAAGCAUGAUGAAACGUAGCAGGCAGACAGAGGAUAUCAUGGAAACGGACGUGGUAUCACCUCAUAUUAGCGAAACGCUCUUGGUUUCUCAACCACAAUGCUGUAAAACAACUGACUGUGGAUCAAGUAACUCUGCUGGUUGUCCAUUUCAAGCUCUUGGCGAGCACUUGACCGGAGUGAAAUUGUCAACAAAUAAUAAAGACAAACGAAUCUGCAUUGUUGCCUCCCAUCCAUCAAGUGGUUUAUCAUUCACCUUAACUUGGGUAAAUAACUACGCUGAUUAAGAAGCUGCUGCUGUACAAGGCUGAGUCGUUGGGAAUCAUAAAUAAAUCAUUCACAGAAAAUGACAUCCGUGCGGGCGCACGGGUGGAAGCACUAGUAUAACAUUAUAACAGCAGUUAUAAAUUGAAUCGACCAAACAAAACACACAUCAUCAAAAAAUUGGUCAUGUUUACAAAACGGAAAAACAUACCUUUUAACAGGAAAAGGGCCAUCCAUGGAGUUGCGCCGAAAUAAUAGAGUUGUAAGUGAUGUGGCAGCUUUAGGAAAGGGAAAGAUGCUGUUGUCGAAUGCAUCUAAAGAGAAAUCAAGAACCUCCAGGUUUCUUAAUUUCCUUAGGCUUUUGUAACCUGCAAACGAGAAUCUAGCUAAGUAUAUAGUGAUUACAUACCCCACACCAAGCACCUAAUGUCAUUCAAAUGUGUAUACAAACAGAGAUUGCGAGAGAUGAAUACUAUGCAGGUGGAUAAUAAAAUGUAAGUGGCCGUAUUAUGUGACUGAAUUGAACAUCACACAGACAUUAACUUGCCUAUGAAGAAACAGAGAUUCCAUCCAAGUAAAACGCUUUGGAGAAACU